UUUUAUACAUAUUUUUUCCAUAAUUCCGAGCAUUCUCUAAUAAUUCAACUGUUUAUUUUAAGACAUGGACAUGGUAUGGAUAACGUGUAUUCUAAUAUUGGAAUAGCAUAACGACGACGCACAAUUGAUAAUCAGAAUAAGUCCGCACGUUAAUUACCCUCGUAGUCGUAUAAUUCAUUUUGUUUUUUUUCUUUUUCUUAUUCUGUUUUCCCUGUCCAAUGUAAGACAUAUUGAUUUUGUACUUUAAGUCAUGGACUCAUCACGGUCAUGCCUUAAUUUCGAAUUAGGAAUAAGUUUUGGCCAAAAAAACAGCAUAAC
RNAcentral lists this long non-coding RNA (318 nucleotides) under Capsella rubella. Its description in RNAcentral is "long non-coding RNA (CRUB_LNC000307)". Lineage: Eukaryota; Viridiplantae; Streptophyta; Magnoliopsida; Brassicales; Brassicaceae. The record is from RNAcentral.